RNAcentral lists this ribosomal RNA (28 nucleotides) under Leptasterias aequalis. Its description in RNAcentral is "partial 12S ribosomal RNA". Lineage: Eukaryota; Metazoa; Echinodermata; Asteroidea; Forcipulatida; Asteriidae. The record is from RNAcentral.
GCGUAUUGGAAAAUGUGCCUGGUAUAAA